UACGUAGGGUGCAAGCGUUGUCCGGAAUUAUUGGGCGUAAAGAGCUCGUAGGCGGCUUGUCACGUCGACUGUGAAAACCCGGGGCUCAACUCCGGGCCUGCAGUCGAUACGGGCUGGCUUGAGUGCGGUAGGGGAGACUGGAAUUCCUGGUGUAGCGGUGAAAUGCGCAGAUAUCAGGAGGAACACCGGUGGCGAAGGCAGCUCGCUGGGACGGUACUGACGCUGAGGCGCGAAAGCGUGGGGAGCGAACAGG
RNAcentral lists this ribosomal RNA (253 nucleotides) under uncultured bacterium. Its description in RNAcentral is "partial 16S ribosomal RNA". It matches the Rfam family "Bacterial small subunit ribosomal RNA", at positions 524 to 776 of the family's 1533-position model. The record is from RNAcentral.